RNAcentral lists this ribosomal RNA (468 nucleotides) under uncultured bacterium. RNAcentral's name for it is "partial 16S ribosomal RNA". It matches the Rfam family "Bacterial small subunit ribosomal RNA", at positions 28 to 507 of the family's 1533-position model. The record is from RNAcentral.
GACGAACGCUGGCGGCGUGCUUAACACAUGCAAGUCGAACGGUGAAGCUCCAGCUUGCUGGAGUGGAUCAGUGGCGAACGGGUGAGUAACACGUGAGCAACCUGCCCCUGACUCUGGAAUAAGCGCUGGAAACGGCGUCUAAUACUGGAUACGAGAAGGGUCCGCAUGGGCACUUUCUGGAAAGUUUUUCGGUUGGGGAUGGGCUCGCGGCCUAUCAGCUUGUUGGUGAGGUAAUGGCUCACCAAGGCGACGACGGGUAGCCGGCCUGAGAGGGCGACCGGCCACACUGGGACUGAGACACGGACCAGACUCCUAAGGGAGGCAGCAGUGGGGAAGAUUGCACAAUGGGCGAAAGCCUGAUGCAGCGACGCCGCGUGCGGGAUGACGGCCUUCUGGUUGUAAACCUCUUUCAGCAGGGAAGAAGCGAAAGUGACGGUACCUGCAGAAGAAGCACCGGCUAACUACGUG